ACUGCAGAGCUAGGGAGUGGGAGAGGUAGACGGUACUCGGUAGGAAGGGGUAAAAUCCUUUGAUCUAUUGAUGACCACCUGUGGCGAAGGCGGUCUACCAGAACACGUCCGACGGUGAGGGAUGAAAGCUGGGGGAGCAAACCGGAUUAGAUACCCGGGUAGUCCCAGCUGUAAACUAUGCAAACUCAGUGAUGCAUUGACUUGUGGUCAAUGCAGUGCUGCAGGGAAGCCGUUAAGUUUGCCGCCUGGGAAGUACGUACGCAAGUAUGAAACUUAAAGGAAUUGGUGGGGGAGCACCACAAGGGGUGAAGCCUGCGGUUCAAUUGGAGUCAACGCCAGAAAUCUUACCCGGAGAGACAGCAGAAUGAAGGUCAAGCUGAAGACUUUACCAGACAAGCUGAGAGGUGGUGCAUGGCCGUCGCCAGCUCGUGCCGUGAGAUGUCCUGUUAAGUCAGGUAACGAGCGAGAUCCCUGCCUCUAGUUGCCACCAUUACUCUCAGGAGUAGUGGGGCGAAUUAGCGGGACCGCCGCAGUUAAUGCGGAGGAAGGAAGGGGCCACGGCAGGUCAGUAUGCCCCGAAACUCUGGGGCCACACGCGGGCUGCAAUGGUAACGACAAUGGGUUUCAAAUCCGAAAGGAUGAGGUAAUCCUCAAACGUUACCACAGUUAUGACUGAGGGCUGCAACUCGCCCUCACGAAUAUGGGAUCCCUAGUAACUGCGUGUCAUUAUCGUGCGGUGAAUACGUCCCUGCUCCUUGCACACACCGCCCGUCGUUUCAUUGAAGUGAGCUCUUAGCGAGGUGACGUCUGAUUGGCGUUAUCGAACUUGGGGUUCGUGAC
This 840-nucleotide ribosomal RNA is filed under the name uncultured archaeon. RNAcentral describes it as "bacterial SSU rRNA". It matches the Rfam family "Archaeal small subunit ribosomal RNA", at positions 583 to 1422 of the family's 1478-position model. The record is from RNAcentral.